UACAGGCGAUACACACACGAUAGAGAUAUACGAAGGUAGCUGGGGCUUCUUCUGAAAACACACGCCUAUACACACACACACACAAUACAUAUACACGCUUGGAGAAAGGGGGCGGCUUCUUCAUAAAAAACACAAUACAAUACACACAAUCUAUACAUUGAGACGCUGGAAGCUAAAGCUGCGCAGCUUUGCUUCUUCUGGAGGAAUUUUGAACAAAUACAUGCCUAUGCAGAGAAAAACAAUCCACACACGCCUAUACUAAUAGAGAGAACAAGAGAAAGCUGCGCAGCUUUUGGAAGACCUCUCUCCCAGCGAUCUCUCUUCUUCUUCGACCAAACGACCCCAUCGGAUACCUUCUUCAUCGUCUUCUUCAACCAAAAUGCAACAACAAGAGCAACGACCAUCUCCACCAACAGUUAGCUGUCCAUUUUCAAAAAAAAAAAAACAAACAAACCAAUUGGAUCUGAAAACUAAGAAAAGUCUCUGAAAAUUUUGAUUUUGAAGAAGUUUUUGAGGUCAAAAUUUGCUGCGUGAUUGUUGAGGUGCCGGACUGAUGUGAUUUCAAAAGAGUUUCCGUUCGAGCUCAUUGAAGGUUUACGGUGAGGUUAUUUUGGUUCGCGUCUUGUUCUAAUAUUCGCUUCUGGAUGAUUUCUGUUUGAAAUUUUGUACGUUGGCUCGGGGUUGUUGUUUAACGAGAGGUUCUGUCCCUUCUUCUUUAAUCUUGCUGCUUUUGUUUUCGUG
Molecule: long non-coding RNA, 741 nt
Filed under: Nicotiana benthamiana
Lineage: Eukaryota; Viridiplantae; Streptophyta; Magnoliopsida; Solanales; Solanaceae
Description: long non-coding RNA (NBEN_LNC014394)
Source: RNAcentral